Lytechinus pictus (painted urchin) is the source of this 3345-nucleotide long non-coding RNA. RefSeq lists it as uncharacterized. Lineage: Eukaryota; Metazoa; Echinodermata; Echinoidea; Temnopleuroida; Toxopneustidae. The record is from RefSeq and is a predicted model, not a curated record. The transcript has 2 exons.
GGUCAAAUCAACAAACUGAAAAUGGUAACCUGAACUUGAUUGGCUGGCACAUUCGUAAGCUCAAGCUGUGAAAGAAACAUAACGACGUCGACCGAUCGACGAUCUAUCAAAUCACAUUCAAGAAACUGAUCAGGAUGAAGGAUCUCGACGUUCAUCUCCUUUGACAGUUCAUCAUGCUGAUUGGAAGCUCAGAAAGAACUUCUUUCAUAUGUUGAUCGUUCCUUUGAAAUAACAAGCCACGACACACUCCCUGAUCGACGACUUGUCGAUGCUGGCACUUCUGACUACGGUUCCUUGAAGCAAUUAUCUUGAAGUUCUGGAUCCUUUGCGUAAUCCGUGCGUGUGUGAGGGUGUGUGUGUGCUGUGGGGGGCGGCUGGCGGAGGCGGUGGACAAAGAAAACAGCGAUUAUGGAAUGUCUUAAGAGUACUUUUCGUUACUUUAUCGUGACUUUAUGUUCAAGGUAUAGGCCGCCUAUUACACGGGCGACUGUCCCCCUUUUAAAAUGUAAUAUAAAAAAAGAGAAACACUCGAGAAAAACGUUGAUAAAAAAGGAAUAAACAUGAAAAAAGGGGGAAAGAAAAGUGAAAAAGAGAUGGAGGUCUGGAUCUUGUUAGUGGAUACUUAAGCCAUUUUCAUUUUUUUUGGGUGGGGGUAAGGCGGGUUUGAACCUCAUCCCUCCACAUAAUUCACACCUGUGUCUCGUAACACAAAGGAUACCGAUUAAUCACUAAAUUAUGAAAUAAAAUGGUUCCGAGUCAGUCUACGAAGCAAAAUACGCAUGCAGCCAUGUGGCAACGAUGUCUUGAAAGGUCAUUAUUUUCAUUAAGCGAUUAAUCGUUAUAACCUCUGUGUUACGGGGGUACUGACGGUAUUCUCUGCCUUUUCUAAAGUAUUGGAGUUCUUGGAACAUGUCAUUUUAUAUUACAAAAAUGUAUAGACCUUAUAGGCAUUUGUUUGAAAAUAGGGUAUCAUGAAACAGUUCUUUCAACACAAAUGUCACGGAACUUACGAAUGUUAUUGCUGCCUCCCAUUUUUAAUGUCCUAUGUCAACAAUCGUUAUUUACAGUGGUACAUUAUUUUCACUUUUGAUCAGAUCUGUAUAGAUGAUUAUUACGUAUAAAGUCUGUGUACAUGAAACGGUGAUAUACAAAACGCAUAAGCUAUUUGGAAUGAUUUCCGUAGGCCUAUGUUCUACAUGUAUAUUUACAUCAUUGAAAUUUUCGGGGAAUCCCCAUAGACAAACGCGAUGCGAGCCGGGGUAUCCCCCCAAGAGCAUAUAAAAUUCUAAGUACCCACUGGUACUGUGAGACAAUUCCUUGAUAUUAUAAUAAAACUGGCCUUUGCUGUUUUUCUCCCGCCUCACCUUUACUUAAUCAUUUUCAAGUCAGGGGAAUACCAAAGGUCAUGUUAUAAACCCAAAACUCUAUGGUUCCUUUUCAGUUUCAGUUUAUUUCUUACAACAAUUCACUAAAAUGUUUUGAAACAUGUAUGUCCUCUCAUAAAAAAUACCCGAUCUUGCGAAAGACUAUCAAGGGUGUGUUCAGUGUCGGUUUCCAAAUUUAAACGGCAACAUGAAUCUUGAUUGAAAACGUGAUUACAAAAACGCGGAUAUAACGAGAAACAAUUAAAGGAUGUGUUUACUCUCCUCCAUUCCCGGUUGUAAAAGUAAACGUCUUUCAUCAAAACACGAUUUCGGAGAAAAUUCAAAAGUCGAAAAAGAACACCUCAGAUUUUAGGACCUUUAACAUCGCGAUUGUGACAUUGAACACGAUGUCAAUUUAAGUGAACUUAUAUGUACAAGGAUGUACAGAUGUCAUCGCGUUGCCAAUAGGAGGAGCUACUAUAGCAAGAGCGAUGUAAAUGCACAUCUAACUUUCUUAUAAUUUAUUCAAUGUUUAUUUGUUAUUAUUUGUUAUUUAUUUAUUGGUACAUAUGCACAUAAAAAUUGACCAGCAGCACAUGCUGAAAGGGUCAAUUUACAAAAAUUCAAUAACAAGUACAAUAACAAGGCAAAUGAACAAAAACGUAAUUACAGUAUUCUAUAUCAAAACUUUAUUAAACCUUCAUUGAUUUAUUUCUUUUGUUUUAAUUCAACCGAUUAAAGGGGUUUUAUUUUCCUUUAACCAAUUACUGAUAUUUUUCUCUAUCCAUCUUGGUGGUGGAAAUACACAUCACAUUUUUUUGAAGUAUGACAGGAGAAACAGGGUUUGGUUUUCUGGGGUUGGGGGUUGGAAUCAUAACACGUCAUGAUACUUGGAAACCUCUGCCCCCUUUAUUAUUCAGACGAUAUUUUCUUCUUGCCAUAUACCAGAAUCUGGCGCACACGUUGAUUUUUUUGGGGGAAAUAUCUAAAUCUCAUUUACGAUUCCAUGAUAUGUUUUGAAAAAAAAGAUAGGUACAAAAUUGUAUCUAUCCAAAGUAUAACCGUUUUCAUUUUUGUAUAUGUAGCAUCGUUUACCUUUGCAACUCAAAGGGAUAUUCAUACCUCAGUGCAUUUCUGUCGGACCUGUCUUCAUUGUUUCCCCCCCCUAAAUUUCGUAUUUAUUGGUUCACAGGAGCGCUGCCUGAGGGGCAAGACGACCUAUAAGGGCGACUUAUUUUCAUUUUUUUAAUUGAACUUUGACUGAGUUUAUAUUCAUGAAUCCAAGCCUGCAUUUACCAAGUUUACAAGACCUAGAUCCCUACUUAUGUACUCUCCUUUCUCCCGUCUACCCCUUUUCUUCCCUUUGUCCCCCCUUCCACUAUUUGAAGAACCAUGGGGGUGAUCACCCCUGUCCCUGUAGUGCCGCCCAUGUGUAUUCAUUUUAUAUUUGUGUUCAGUAGCAUUAUGACCAAUAUGUCCUAAAGAGCAUAAUGGCAAAACGACUUAAAGGUGUACGUCAUUUUUUUUCUUCAAUUCAAUAGUAUGGGCGCUAUCUCCAUAUUCUUUUUCACUACAUUAAAAUUUAUAGGAGCGGUCGCCCCCUCACUUAGGUUAACACCCAGACUCGCUUGCUAUUAAUAAAUGACACACAAUGAGUCAAGCUACACCUUUAGAUUGUCCUUCUUCCCAUUAUAAAAUCAUUGUAUAAAUUCCCAAAUUUCCGAUAUCGUAACAAUUCAAAUAUUAAACUGGGAGAAAAAUGUUUGUUUGAAGUAUGAUGAAAUGGCAUUCUUUUUUUAUUUUUAACCUUUACAUAAAUAUGCAUUUUUGGUAAUAUUGCAGCCAUAACAUAUUUCUUCAAGAUGACAUAGAUUACUGAAAUGGUUCAGAUGUACUCCUAUAGUAUUUAGGCCUAUAUAGAUUUUUUAAUGUCAUAUUUCAUAUAUUUUGAUGUAGAAAUAAAAUAGACCAACAAAAUUAA